RNAcentral lists this unclassified non-coding RNA (218 nucleotides) under rhizosphere metagenome. Its description in RNAcentral is "partial ribosomal RNA internal transcribed spacer region". The record is from RNAcentral.
GUAGGUGAACCUGCGGAGGGAUCAUUACAGAGAACAUCGCCCGCGAGGGUGACUCUCCAACCCUAUGUUAAUUAUACCUUUGUUGCUUUGGCGAGCCGCUCCGGCCACCGGCUUCUAGCUGGUGAGUGCUCGCCAGAGAAAACCAAAACUCUUUUUAUUAAUGUCGUCUGAGUACUAUAUAAUAGUUAAAACUUUCAACAACGGAUCUCUUGGUUCUG